AGAGUUUGAUCCUGGCUCAGGAUGAACGCUGGCGGCGUGCCUAACACAUGCAAGUCGAGCGAUCUUCUUCGGAAGAGAGCGGCGGACGGGUGAGUAACGCGUGGGUAACCUGCCCUGUACACACGGAUAGCAUACCGGAAGGUAUGCUAAUACGAGAUAAUAUACUUUUAUCGCAUGGUAGAAGUAUCAAAGCUCUGGCGGUACAGGAUGGACCCGCGUCUGAUUAGCUAGUUGGUAAGGUAACGGCUUACCAAGGCGACGAUCAGUAGCCGACCUGAGAGGGUGAUCGGCCACAUUGGAACUGAGACACGGUCCAAACUCCUACGGGAGGCAGCAGUGGGGAAUAUUGCACAAUGGGCGAAAGCCUGAUGCAGCAACGCCGCGUGAGCGAUGAAGGCCUUCGGGUCGUAAAGCUCUGUCCUCAAGGAAGAUAAUGACGGUACUUGAGGAGGAAGCCCUGGCUAACUAUGUGCCAGCAGCCGCGGUAAUACGUAGGGGGCUAGCGUUAUCCGGAAUUACUGGGCGUAAAGGGUGCGUAGGUGGUUUCUUAAGUCAGAGGUGAAAGGCUACGGCUCAACCGUAGUAAGCCUUUGAAACUGGGAAACUUGAGUGCAGGAGAGGAGAGUGGAAUUCCUAGUGUAGCGGUGAAAUGCGUAGAUAUUAGGAGGAACACCAGUUGCGAAGGCGGCUCUCUGGACUGUAACUGACACUGAGGCACGAAAGCGUGGGGAGCAAACAGGAUUAGAUACCCUGGUAGUCCACGCCGUAAACGAUGAGUACUAGCUGCCGGAGGUUACCCCCUUCGGUGGCGCAGCUAACGCAUUAAGUACUCCGCCUGGAAGUACGCUCGCAAGAGUGAAACUCAAAGGAAUUGACGG
This 878-nucleotide ribosomal RNA is filed under the name uncultured bacterium. Its description in RNAcentral is "bacterial SSU rRNA". It matches the Rfam family "Bacterial small subunit ribosomal RNA", at positions 8 to 916 of the family's 1533-position model. The record is from RNAcentral.